Molecule: long non-coding RNA, 2565 nt
Filed under: Homo sapiens (human)
Lineage: Eukaryota; Metazoa; Chordata; Mammalia; Primates; Hominidae
Description: HSALNT0138639
Source: RNAcentral
UAAUUUUUUUUGUAUUUUUAAUAGAGAUGGGGUUUCACCAUGUUGGCCAGGGUGGUCUUGAACUCCUGAUGUCAGGUGAUGUGCCUGCCUUGGGCUCCCAAACUGCUGGGAUUACAGGUAUGAGCCACCAUGCCCAGCCACAAUAGACAUUCUUACACAUGGGAACAGUUCUACAGAAUAAAUUCCUUGAAGCAGAAGUGCUAAGUCAGAUGUAGGCACAUUAAAAAAUUUUGAUAGAAUCUUGCCUUUAAGAAUCUUGAAUGAUUUAUCUUUUUGUCAACAGACUGUAUUGAGCAAAAUCUGUAUUUAUUAUUCUUUAAAAGAAGAGAAUAGCUUCCACUUAGUGUUUAUAACAUGUCAGGUACUGUGCUGAACACUUCACAUGCAUUUUAAAAUUUAAUCCUCACCUUAUGAGAGUCAGAGGCAGAAUUAUUUUCUUCAUGACCCUGUGGUUCUGUAGCUCUUGAGGGGCACAUUUAAGAUUAGAAUCCAAGUUCAUUUUGCUUCAGUUCCUGGGUUCUUUGCAGGGUCUGAAUCCCUGCUCAGUCAUUGACUGGAAUCUGUGUUUCAUUGGGUGACUUAAGGAUUAAAUUGGAUUGUGUAUUUGCUGUUACAGUAAUGUUAUUAAUAAUUCCCUUCUCCAGUAACUUGCACAAUUGGACAUGGUCCAAUGCUUCCUAUGAUGCUGGUUCCCCUGAACUGUCUGCCUCUCCAUUCCUUCUCUGCCUUUUCUUCUUCCUGCCUUGCAUAUAUUUUAAGGAAAUCUCUGGCUUUUCUUCUUUCUCUCAAAUCUCCUUUGCCAACUUUAUUACAGUCUCUGGCCUUAUUUCUCACGUGUAAGUAGAUAACUCUUAACAUUUUCAUCUUCAAACCUGUGUACCUCAAUUCAUACUGCAUAGAUCCAGAUUAUAUAUCUCCAUUGGAUAUCCUGUACUCACUUUUUUCUAAAACAGAACUCCUUGUUGCCCUCCACCUCCAGACUAGCAUGUCCUCUUUGAAUUUAAUUCAUGGUUCCAUAAUUCUCAGUCACCUCAAUUCCCAGCCUCAUUCAGCUUUGACUCCUUUUUCUCUGCUGAAUCUCCCAAAUUAAAUAAUCAAUCUUGCAUUCUCACUGUGACCACUCUAAAUACUCUGGACUAUUAUGAUUGCCUUGUAAUUUCUCUUUUGGGCUCCAGUCUCUGCCAUAUUAAUUUUUCUAAAGCAUAGCUGUGAAUAGAAACCAUACCUCUGUUCAGAAUAUAUACCAUAUGUCUGUUCUGUGGUUCCACAUUACUCAAGAAAAUAUAGACCACUUUGUCCAGCAUUCAGAUUUGUCUGUAAUCUCAUCCAAUUUAUCAUUUCAUUAUUUCUCACACUGCCUUUAUCUGAACCCCUCCCUCCAGGCAAUCCAGAGUACUUACAUUACAUUCUCUGUGACAUCUUUCCCAUCUAUAUCUUUUCCUGGAAUGCCUCUACCUACAUUUCUGCCGUCUAAAUCUUAUUUAAAUGCCAUUUUCUAAUUUCUUUAAAGUCUUUUUUGAAUCUCCCCCGAAAGUAAUAUCUCCCUCCUUUUAACUCUUCUACUACUUUAUAUAUCUCCUAAGGAUUUAAUUUAUACACACCGCUUUGUAUUAUAGUUGUAUAAGUGGCUACUGUUUUUUCUUCUGGACUGGAAAUUCUGUGCAGGCAGAAUCUCUCUUUAGUUAUUUUUGUGUGUUUUUUGUGCACGUGACACAUUUAUGUGUAUAUCGUACAUGCUUAAUGAAUAUAUUUAAGUGAGUUACUACAUUAUUUGAGAAUAAAAAGUCACAUGUAUUAGCCUAUUGCUAGCUGUAGUGACAAACAGAUCCCAACAUUUUCUUGAUUUAACAUAGAAAAGUUAUUUCUUGCUCACAUAACAAUUUCAAGGUAGGCGUCCCUGGUCAGCAAACGGCUUGCUUUCACUUGGUAGAAGGACCCAGACUCUGCCAUUCGUCAGCACUUCACUCUUGUCUAAAUCCAGUCAGCAGAAAGGCAAGGAGAAACUAUGGAGAAAGCAUACUUGCUUAGCUUCUUAGAAGCUUCUUGCAGUGUUACACAUUACAUUGGCUCACAUUCCAGUCACAGGGAGGCAGCCACUUCCUAGAACAAACGCUAUUCUCUGGAGGAGGAGCCAGGAUUUUAGUGGACAAACAACCUUCUCUCCCACAGUUGAUUUCUACUUGUGAAAACCUUUGGGACUUAGCUUGAACAUCACUUGCUCAAAAAGCAAAAACAAACAAAUAAACAAACAAACAAACAAAGAAAACCUUCCUACUUCUCCAGUCUGGUUAAGGUCAGCAAAAGUUCUGUUGUGCCAUAGAAUUUGAACGUAGCUUUAUCGUAAUGAACUAAUUACUCCUCCCCACUACCUCCCAUAGACCAUGUGCUUUAUCUUUAAUCAUUGUUGUAUUACAACUACUAGCACAAUGCAUGACAUGAAUAAAUAAAUAUCUUUCUCAAUGAAUCUAUAACUCAUCUUUCUUUAUGUUCACUUGGUAAUUAUUUUGGUUCAAACAACCCUAAAAUUAAAGAUUAUUUUGCCACCUGCUGUUUGACAUUUGAGUU